Molecule: long non-coding RNA, 591 nt
Organism: Heterocephalus glaber (naked mole-rat)
Lineage: Eukaryota; Metazoa; Chordata; Mammalia; Rodentia; Bathyergidae
Source: Ensembl
AAACUUUUGCAAGAGGCUUUAGUCAUAUCGCUGGCAAUACCAGACGAGAGUGACAGCCCGGGGAGUCAUUAGGGCUGCAUGAUGAAACGGGACGUUACGGGCGGACGCUAGAGAGCCAGGUGUGAAAUCCAUCCCAAGAAGGAAGCCUCAGGUCCAGACAAAAGAGAAGAUUUGAGCGUGGGAUGGUGAUGGACGCCUACAAUCCCAGCUCCGUGGGAGCCAGAAAGUUGUCUGCAGGAGACUAGAAUCUUGAAGCGCAAGCCCCCAAUCUGGAUCCAACUACACCUUAAUAGGCUGCCCCAGAAGUCGCACAUUUCCAGAAAGAACAACUUCUCCCUUGCUUUUUAGCUGUGUGAACCUACACAUCUCUGAACCUGUUUCCUGUUGUAUCAAACCGUGCAGUAAAGUUUACUCCACAGGGGUACUGUGGGGACGAGAGCUAAGGCCCGAAAACCCCUUAACGAGGGAUUGAACUCGAGUCCUUGUGCCUGUGAGACAGGCGGCGGAACCACUGAGCUAAAUCCCUGGCCUUCCAGUUUGUUUUUUUAAAAACGAUUUAUUUGACAACUUUCACUUAGUGUAAUAAAAAGA